UGGAGAGUUUGAUCCUGGCUCAGAUUGAACGCUGGCGGCAUGCCUUACACAUGCAAGUCGAACGGCAGCACGGGUGCUUGCACCUGGUGGCGAGUGGCGAACGGGUGAGUAAUACAUCGGAACAUGUCCUGUAGUGGGGGAUAGCCCGGCGAAAGCCGGAUUAAUACCGCAUACGAUCUACGGAUGAAAGCGGGGGACCUUCGGGCCUCGCGCUAUAGGGUUGGCCGAUGGCUGAUUAGCUAGUUGGUGGGGUAAAGGCCUACCAAGGCGACGAUCAGUAGCUGGUCUGAGAGGACGACCAGCCACACUGGGACUGAGACACGGCCCAGACUCCUACGGGAGGCAGCAGUGGGGAAUUUUGGACAAUGGGCGAAAGCCUGAUCCAGCAAUGCCGCGUGUGUGAAGAAGGCCUUCGGGUUGUAAAGCACUUUUGUCCGGAAAGAAAUCCUUGGCUCUAAUACAGUCGGGGGAUGACGGUACCGGAAGAAUAAGCACCGGCUAACUACGUGCCAGCAGCCGCGGUA
Molecule: ribosomal RNA, 524 nt
Filed under: Burkholderia cepacia
Lineage: Bacteria; Pseudomonadati; Pseudomonadota; Betaproteobacteria; Burkholderiales; Burkholderiaceae
Description: bacterial SSU rRNA
Rfam family: Bacterial small subunit ribosomal RNA
Source: RNAcentral